RNAcentral lists this non-coding RNA (213 nucleotides) under Aneurinibacillus sp. XH2. Lineage: Bacteria; Bacillati; Bacillota; Bacilli; Caryophanales; Paenibacillaceae. The record is from RNAcentral. RNAcentral also lists the same sequence under 1 other name.
UGUAUAUGUAAACUUUACGGUGUUCAAAGUUCCACCAGAUGCUGGAAUGGAGAACUUAAAAGGGAAGUUCGGUGCAAAUCCGACGCGGUCCCGCCACUGUGAAGGGAAGAACACUGCUGAUAUUAAACCCACUAUUUCUGCCUGUGAAAUGGGAAGGGGGCGGUUGUUCGUCAGACCCGAAGCCAGGAGACCUGCCGUGAAGAGAAACACUGC